Molecule: non-coding RNA, 2328 nt
Organism: Trichonephila inaurata madagascariensis
Lineage: Eukaryota; Metazoa; Arthropoda; Arachnida; Araneae; Nephilidae
Source: the annotation of a GenBank genome assembly
GCGACCUCGGAUCAGACGAGAGAACCCGCUGAACUUAAGCAUAUCAGUAAGCGGAGGAAAAGAAAACAACAGGAUUCCCCAGUAGCGGCGAGGGGGAAAAAGCCCAGCGCCGAACCCUGCGUCGCGAGACGCCUCGGGACCUGUGGCGUAUGGAGUGCGUCGCGUCCAACGGGGGAACGGAGGCAAGUCCCCCCGAGCGGGGGCCCUUUUCCGUGGCGGGGGCAAGACCCGUGCCCCCCGCGCCCCGGAUGGGAAGGACGACUCCGGGGGAGUCGGGUUGCCCCGGGAGUGGCCCCCCCAAAGGGGGGGACCCCCCCAAGGCUAAAUACGACCGCGAGACCGAUAGCAAACAAGUACCGUGAGGGGAAAAUUGAAAAAAACUUUUAAAGAGAGUUAAAGACGGAACGUUCGGGGGGGAAACGGUGGGGGCCCAAAUCCUCGACUCGGGGGGGUCCGCGGUGCCGACCGACGCACCGCCCGGGAAAAAGGGAAGUCGCGGCCGGCGGAGGCGAUCCCGGAGUUGGGGGGGGUAUCCGGGGGGUCCCUUUGGUACCGCCCGAGUUCCCCCUUUGAUGGAGAGAGCCCUGCCGCCAUUCUUUUGGGAAGGCCUCCGGGGCGCGUCGGUUUCCCUCUCGGGGCCCGGGCGUCGUGGUGGACGCGCCAUCUUCCCAGGGGGGGCUGGCGGUUCCGGUGCGGCUGGCCGGUUUCCGGGGGUUUUCGAUGCGUUCCGCUGUCCCGCGACGAGGUCGGUCCCCACCCCACCCGUCUUGAAACACGGACCGGAGUCUUACUGCGGUGCGAGUCAAUGGGGAAAAAACCCCCCGGGGAGCGAAAGCGAAGACGCGAUCCCUUCGGUUUUAAGUCGACGGGGCAGCGACCGCCUUUCCUUGACCCAAAGGGGGAAGGAGGAGAGCCCUCGGUAAGGACCCGAUAGGUGGUGAACUAUUUCGGCAGGACGAAGGCCGAGGAAACUCGGCUGAAUCCAAGCGGGUUUUGACGUGAAACGACGCCGACCCGGUAUAGGGGGAAAACCAAUCGAACCACCUGGUAGCUGGUUCCCUCCGAAAUUUCCCCAGGAUAGUGCGCUCAUUGGGGCCCUCGUUUCCCCUAGAGAGAAUGAUUAGAGCUUGGGACGCCCGUGUCACUCGACCCUUCAAACUACGAAGGGACGUGAAAACGGUUCUCCCCGAUCGGAGACCGAAGUGCGGAUGCAGGACGGGGGGCCCUUUUUGAAGCAGAACUGGCGCUGCGGGAUGAACCGAAGCCGGGGUAAGGCGCCCUAUGCGGGGCGCCAGAGCCCCCUGAAAAGGGCGGUUGCUAGAGACAGCAGGACGGUGGCCACGGAAGUCGGCACCCCCCCAAGGGGGGUGUAACAACUCACCUGCCUGCAAACCCGGGCCUGAAAAAGGGGCGCCCAGCGUCGUAGCCCGCUCCCGGGGGGGCCCCAAUUUAUUGUGAUUAUUAGGUCACCGAGUAGGGGGGGUCGCGUCGGGGGGUGAAGGCGCGGCGUGAGUCGGGCUGGACCCGGGGGGAGAUCUUGGGGUAGUAGCAAAUAUUCCAGUGAGAGCCUGGGAAAACUAACAGGGGAAGGGUUUCCCGGGGAACAGAGUUUAACAUGAGUGAGUCGGUCCUGAGGUCCUACGCCAAUGCGUAUUAUAAAUCUUUCAUUAAUAUAAAGUUGUUGAAGAGUUGAAAGAUGAAGACCGAAAAGGGUUUUUCCUUUACCCGGGCACGGGAUCCGGCCUCCGGGGGAUAGUGCGGUAACGCAACCGAACUCGGCGACGUCGUCGGAACCCGGGGAAAUUUACUUUUUCGAAGACGGCGUGUCCCUCGAAUCUCGUCGCGAGGAGAAAGGGGCGCGCCGCGAAAGAAAAACGGUCGCUGCCGCCCUGUCCGGUUUCCCCCCGCCGGCCCUUGAAAAAAAGGAGAGGGUGUGAUUUCGGGCCCGGGCCGUCCCCUAUCCGCAGCAGGUUCCAAGGUGAACAGCCUCUAGUCUGAACAAUUGGGAAGGGAAGCCGGGCCCCAUCCCUAACCUCGGAAAAAAAGGGUUGGCUUGUGUCUCGGCUCUGGGCUUCCCUAAUUAUUUCUGAAGCCCCCUCGUGACGGGGGCUGGUCCGAGGUGCGAUCGGGCCCGUACUGAGGUGGGGGGGACGGUGGAAGGGCCUUCUCCCUUUUGCAAGGGGUUUGGGGGGCCGAGGGCGAGCAUGAGACGAACAAGAACUGGCACGGACCCCGGGGGCACUGUUAUAAAAAAAAGCUUUCGAGGCCGGAGCGGUGUUACGCUGAUUUCUGCCCAGGCUCGAAUGUCAAAGGAAGAAAUUACCCAAG